This is a non-coding RNA of Coffea arabica (coffee), 711 nucleotides long. The record is from RefSeq and is a predicted model, not a curated record. NCBI's taxonomy places the organism in Eukaryota, Viridiplantae, Streptophyta, Magnoliopsida, Gentianales, Rubiaceae.
UUUUUUUUUUUUAGGUGUGUCCCGCAGGGAGUGGACCCCGCAGACUAUUCACCACCCUCAGCAACUUGCUGGCAGCAAGGUUCGAACCAGGGACCUGAGGCUCCAUCUUCAGCAACCUCAACCACCAGACCAAGCCCCUGAGGGCUGGUUUCUAAAGUUGGAGAAAUGGACGAUGCAUUUGGGAGCAGUCGCAUCUCCACGGAAACUGGAGUGCUUUUACUUCACCACCUUGCAGAAAUUAGAAGGCUUGGAAUUCUUCUUAAUCAUGAGUUGAAGUCUAAGCUGGGUGACAGACACCAUUGCUUCUGCCCACCAUGGUAUAAAAGCUUUUAUCAUUAUGAUCAGUCAUUACCAUGGAUCUGCAUGGCCUACCUUUGAUGGUUAACGCAGACACACAUCCUCUUUUCUUGAGAUAACUGUUUUCACUUUUCCGUGUUAUCAUUUUCCAUUCGCCCUCACCACUAAUAAUCUGAAAUUUCCAGUCUCACAAAGUUUAUCUGUUUAGCAUUGAAGGUAGUUUGUGAUGGUAUAACUGUUUUAGCCAACUGCAGACAUUCAAGAUCAAAUAUACCACAAUGAACUUACCAAUUUGCCACUGUAUGUGGCUGCCUUCAGUGGCUUUCUCCAACCGGUGGUGAUUCAACUUCCAUCGGCUCUCUCUCCCUUAGAUUAGGUUAUAGAAAUGUUAUCAUUGCGACAAAAAAAAAAAAA